This 301-nucleotide ribosomal RNA is filed under the name uncultured bacterium. RNAcentral describes it as "partial 16S ribosomal RNA". It matches the Rfam family "Bacterial small subunit ribosomal RNA", at positions 509 to 809 of the family's 1533-position model. The record is from RNAcentral.
CAGUAGCCGCGGGAAUACAGAGGGUGCGAGCGUUAAUCGGAUUUACUGGGCGUAAAGCGUGCGUAGGCGGCUAAUUGAGUCGGAUGUGAAAUCCCCGAGCUUAACUUGGGAAUUGCAUUCGAUACUGGUUAGCUAGAGUGUGGGAGAGGAUGGUAGAAUUCCAGGUGUAGCGGUGAAAUGCGUAGAGAUCUGGAGGAAUACCGAUGGCGAAGGCAGCCAUCUGGCCUAACACUGACGCUGAGGUACGAAAGCAUGGGGAGCAAACAGGAUUAGAUACCCCCGUAGUCCCUGUCUCUUAUAA